This is a long non-coding RNA of Branchiostoma floridae (Florida lancelet), 348 nucleotides long. RefSeq lists it as uncharacterized. The transcript is spliced from 3 exons. Lineage: Eukaryota; Metazoa; Chordata; Leptocardii; Amphioxiformes; Branchiostomatidae. The record is from RefSeq and is a predicted model, not a curated record.
CAUAGGUCGUAAACUGCCUUUGAGACUUCACAGUUGGAAAUUAACACCAGGCGUGGUAACAGCAUGUGGCAGGCUGACAGAACCCCAUAUGGACGCCCCUCGCUGCUCUGAGUGCUAAACGCCACCAGAUGCGAUCAGACAUACAGCUGGCCUCUCCCAUGUCUCCAAGCAGAUGCUGGGAUGGAAGACACAGUUAUUUUCUGACUUCCUGUUCAGUCUUCAGACAGCUACCCACUGUGGUCUACAGUCUUAUGUUCCUGUCCUGAUCCAAUACAGAUGGAGCUUCGGGAAAGUGACUGUCAGUUCCCCAAUUAACAGAAACUGCCAUGGGUGAUGGACAAAAACCCU